GUUACAAUGGGGGGUACAGAGGGCCGCUACCACGCGAGUGGAUGCCAAUCCCCAAAACCUCUCUCAGUUCGGACUGGAGUCUGCAACCCGACUCCACGAAGCUGGAUUCGCUAGUAAUCGCGCAUCAGCCACGGCGCGGUGAAUACGUUCCCGGGCCUUGUACACACCGCCCGUCAAGCCAUGGGAGCCGGGGGUACCUGAAGUGCGUAACCGCGAGGAGCGCCCUAGGGUAAAACUGGUGACUGGGGCUAAGUCGUAACAAGGUAAC
Molecule: ribosomal RNA, 268 nt
Filed under: uncultured bacterium
Lineage: Bacteria
Description: partial 16S ribosomal RNA
Rfam family: Bacterial small subunit ribosomal RNA
Source: RNAcentral